GCUCAGGAUGAACGCUGGCGGCGUGCCUAAUACAUGCAAGUCGAACGCUUUGUGGUUCAACUGAUUUGAAGAGCUUGCUCAGAUAUGACGAUGGACAUUGCAAAGAGUGGCGAACGGGUGAGUAACACGUGGGAAACCUACCUCUUAGCAGGGGAUAACAUUUGGAAACAGAUGCUAAUACCGUAUAACAAUGACAACCGCAUGGUUGUUAUUUAAAAGAUGGUUCUGCUAUCACUAAGAGAUGGUCCCGCGGUGCAUUAGCUAGUUGGUAAGGUAAUGGCUUACCAAGGCGAUGAUGCAUAGCCGAGUUGAGAGACUGAUCGGCCACAAUGGGACUGAGACACGGCCCAUACUCCUACGGGAGGCAGCAGUAGGGAAUCUUCCACAAUGGGCGAAAGCCUGAUGGAGCAACGCCGCGUGUGUGAUGAAGGGUUUCGGCUCGUAAAACACUGUUGUAAGAGAAGAAUGACAUUGAGAGUAACUGUUCAAUGUGUGACGGUAUCUUACCAGAAAGGAACGGCUAAAUACGUGCCAGCAGCCGCGGUAAUACGUAUGUUCCAAGACGCAUACGGAUUUUGGGCGUAAGCGAGCGCAGACGGUUAUUUAAGUCUGAAGUGAAAGCCCUCAGCUCAACUGAGGAAUUGCUUUGGAAACUGGAUGACUUGAGUGCAGUAGAGGAAAGUGGAACUCCAUGUGUAGCGGUGAAAUGCGUAGAUAUAUGGAAGAACACCAGUGGCGAAGGCGGCUUUCUGGACGUAACUGACGUGAGCUGAAACAGGAAGUAGCAAACAGGAUUAGAUACCCUGGUAGUCCACACCGUAAACGAUGAGUGCUAGGUGUUUGAGGGUUUCCGCCCUUAAGUGCCGCAGCUAACGCAUUAAGCACUCCGCCUGGGGAGUACGACCGCAAGGUUGAAACUCAAAGGAAUUGACGGGGACCCGCACAAGCGGUGGAGCAUGUGGUUUAAUUCGAAGCAACGCGAAGAACCUUACCAGGUCUUGACAUCCCUUGACAACUCCAGAGAUGGAGCGUUCCCUUCGGGGACAAGGUGACAGGUGGUGCAUGGUUGUCGUCAGCUCGUGUCGUGAGAUGUUGGGUUAAGUCCCGCAACGAGCGCAACCCUUAUUACUAGUUGCCAGCAUUCAGUUGGGCACUCUAGUGAGACUGCCGGUGACAAACCGGAGGAAGGUGGGGGAUGACGUCAAAUCAUCAUGCCCCUUAUGACCUGGGCUACACACGUGCUACAAUGGCGUAUACAACGAGUUGCCAACCCGCCGAGGGUGAGCUAAUCUCUUAAAGUACGUCUCAGUUCGGAAUUGUAGGCUGCAACUCGCCUACAUGAAGUCGGAAUCGCUAGUAAUCGCGGAUCAGCACGCCGCGGGUGAAUACGUUCCCGGGGUCUUGUACACACCGCCCGUCAACCAAUGAAGAGUUUGUAACACCCAAAGCCGGGUGGGGUAACCUUUCGGGAGCCAGCCGUCUAAGGUGGGACAGAUGAUUAAGGGUGAUCUACAAAGAAAAACCCCAGAAGAACAAGAAAAGGGGAGAGAGGUGGUCUCUCUCGUUCGUGUGGUUAGA
Molecule: ribosomal RNA, 1578 nt
Filed under: Weissella confusa
Lineage: Bacteria; Bacillati; Bacillota; Bacilli; Lactobacillales; Lactobacillaceae
Description: bacterial SSU rRNA
Rfam family: Bacterial small subunit ribosomal RNA
Source: RNAcentral